GUUCCGUAGGUGAACCUGCGGAAGGAUCAUUAUUGUAUAACCGAGGUGCGAGGGCUGUCGCUGACCCGAAAGGUCGUGCACGCCCGAGUGCCCUCACACACAUCCAUCUCACCCUAUGUGCACCACCGCGUGGGUCCCCCUUUGGCUUGUUCGGAGGGGGGCUUACGUUUUCACACAAACUUUGUAUGCAGUGUAGAAUGUAUUUUUUGUUUUUGCGAUCACGCAAUCAAUACAACUUUCAACAACGGAUCUCUUGGCUCUC
RNAcentral lists this unclassified non-coding RNA (262 nucleotides) under plant metagenome. Its description in RNAcentral is "partial contains small subunit ribosomal RNA, internal transcribed spacer 1, and 5.8S ribosomal RNA". The record is from RNAcentral.